AUUCAUGGAUGGCAACUCCUAUAGCCACAGCUCUCUCUUGUUUCCAGCCCUGCUGCUGAUAGAAAAAGUGGGUGGAUCCAAAUGACCAGGAAACUAAGUGCCUCUGCCUUUGUGAAAGAACGAGAAAACAGCAUGAAGCCAGAAAGGAGGGCUUCCAGGAGAAGAGCAAGGUGUUAUAUCGCUUCCCCUGAGAUUCUUGGAUGUUACAUGACUUUUCUUCUGUGAUUCUCUCGUCUCCAGUUCAAGAUAUUGCUUCAGUUGCCAGUCCUGGACCUCAGAAACCCUAAGCUGGGUAGCAAAUUCAAAAUUUGAAGGAAGUGGAAGAACAUCUCAGAAUAUCUCAGGGCUCCUCUCAGGGUGAAACUGGAAUUCGAAGACUAUUUCAGGAUUUAUUGUAAGAGCUAGGGAUUUAUAGAUAACCUAUAACACCUAUAAAAAGAAGAAGGAAGAAGAAGAGUGGGAAGAAUUGGCCAAGGGGAAAGAGAAACAAGCCAGAAUGAAAACAGCUUGAGAACUAACCAAGGAGGCACUGAUUAAUCAACUAAAGCUAUAGCUGAUUAAUCUAUAGAUUAAAGGCAAGCCUGCGGCUCUCCCUAUUCUUCACAGCUAAUUAUAUAAACUUGCCUGCAAAUAUUUGUAUCCCUUCAGCUGCGUCAUGCAUUUCCUUGCAAAAGCUGUGAGGCCUCAACCAUAGACAAACCAAUCUGGAGUUACACUCCAAACCAAAAAUAACAGCCCACCAGCUGUGUCCUGAAAAUUGAAAAAUCUGUGCUCAACUUUUCGGCAGCAGCUCAACAGCGUCCAGAGCCAUCAAUAACAAUAAAUUAGGAGGGUUUUUUUCUUUUCUUUUCUUUUUUUUAAUGUGUAGGGCUGUGUGCUGGAGCCUGCGCUUCUGGGAGUGGAGAAGCAUACCCCUUCCACUUGGAUGGCUGUGGUAAAGACGAUUGAUGCAUAUGUCUCGUUCAUGUAAUCACUCUGUGUGAGGUCUGGAAACAGACGAGAAGAAGGGGGAAAGAUUUUUUUGAACGUUCCCCAAUGUGAAGAGCAUUGGUGAAAAUCAAAAGCAGCCAGUUCAGAAAAUGUUUUGCUGUAAAUACUUUGAGACAGUCCAUUAAGACACCAUAGGACCAUUUUUCUUCAUUGCUGUGAGUAAAAUUGCCACCUGGCUGGUGGUUGACUGGCCUGGCUGGGUUUUUGUUUUUAAUUUUCAGGAUCAAUUUGCUUUUUAUGGCCUAUUCCCAAGAGAGUGUGUUGUUGUUGUUUUUUAAGUCAACACCAAACAGUAACCCUACAUAUAAAUAGAAUUAUAUUCUGC
Molecule: long non-coding RNA, 1315 nt
Organism: Hemicordylus capensis (graceful crag lizard)
Lineage: Eukaryota; Metazoa; Chordata; Lepidosauria; Squamata; Cordylidae
Exons: 6
Source: RefSeq, a predicted model, not a curated record